This 651-nucleotide small RNA is filed under the name Pan troglodytes (chimpanzee). RNAcentral describes it as "retained intron". Lineage: Eukaryota; Metazoa; Chordata; Mammalia; Primates; Hominidae. The record is from RNAcentral.
GCUGUAUGCUGGGGAAGGGCCUGCAUGGAGGCUCUCUCGUGGGAGAGGAGUUGCAUUUCCUGUGCUAAGCCUGCUCCUGGCUCAAUCUCUCCCCAGGCUGUGCUGGCUGGAGCUGCUGCCUUCAUUUACGAGAAACGGGGUGGUACAUACUGGGCCCUGCUGAGGACUCUGCUAGCGCUGGCAGCUUUCUCCACAGCCAUCGCUGCCCUCAAACUUUGGAAUGAAGAUUUCCGAUAUGGCUACUCUUAUUACAACAGUGCCUGCCACAUCUCCAGCUCGAGCGACUGGAACACCCCAGCCCCCACUCAGAGUCCAGAAGAAGUCAGAAGGCUACACCUAUGUACCUCCUUCAUGGACAUGCUGAAGAAAAGAGACCAGAAGGAAAUGUUGGAAGUGAGUGGAAUCUAGCCAUGCCUCUCCUGAUUAUUAGUGCCUGGUGCUUCUGCACCGGCGUCCCUGAAUCUGACUGCUGGAAGAAGAACCAGACUGAGGAAAAGAGGCUCUUCAACAGCCCCAGUUAUCCUGCCCCCAUGACCAUGGCCACAGCCCUGCUCCAGCAGCACUUGCCCAUUCCUUACACCCCUUCCCCAUCCUGCUCCGCUUCAUGUCCCCUCCUGAGUAGUCAUGUGAUAAUAAACUCUCAUGUUAUUG